Molecule: ribosomal RNA, 122 nt
Filed under: Thermoproteota archaeon
Lineage: Archaea; Thermoproteati; Thermoproteota
Source: RNAcentral
GCGAGCGGCCAUAGCGGCCGGGGACACACCCGGACUCAUUCCGAACCCGGAAGUUAAGCCCGGCCGCGUUCCGCGGAGUACUGAGCUCCGUAAGGGCUCGGGAAACGCGGAAGCCGCUAAGC